RNAcentral lists this ribosomal RNA (458 nucleotides) under uncultured bacterium. RNAcentral's name for it is "partial 16S ribosomal RNA". It matches the Rfam family "Bacterial small subunit ribosomal RNA", at positions 338 to 795 of the family's 1533-position model. The record is from RNAcentral.
CCUACGGGAGGCAGCAGUGAGGAAUAUUGGUCAAUGGGCGAGAGCCUGAACCAGCCAAGUCGCGUGAGGGAGUACUGCCCUAUGGGUUGUAAACCUCUUUUGUCGGGGAGCAAAAGCCGGACGUGUCCGGCUGUGAGAGUACCCGAAGAAAAGGCAUCGGCUAACUCCGUGCCAGCAGCCGCGGUAAUACGGAGGAUGCGAGCGUUAUCCGGAUUUAUUGGGUUUAAAGGGUGCGCAGGCGGAUUUUUAAGUUAGGGGUAAAAUCGUGGGGCUCAACCCCAUCCAGCCGUUGAAACUGGGGAUCUAGAGUGUGCGAGAGGUAUGCGGAAUGCGUGGUGUAGCGGUGAAAUGCAUAGAUAUCACGCAGAACCCCGAUUGCGAAGGCAGCAUACCGGUGCACAACUGACGCUCAGGCACGAAAGCGUGGGUAUCGAACAGGAUUAGAUACCCUAGUAGUC